UCCGAAGGGGGCUAGCGUUGCUCGGAAUCACUGGGCGUAAAGGGUGCGUAGGCGGGUCUUUAAGUCAGAGGUGAAAUCCUGGAGCUCAACUCCAGAACUGCCUUUGAUACUGAGGAUCUUGAGUUCGGGAGAGGUGAGUGGAACUGCGAGUGUAGAGGUGAAAUUCGUAGAUAUUCGCAAGAACACCAGUGGCGAAGGCGGCUCACUGGCCCGAUACUGACGCUGAGGCACGAAAGCGUGGGGAGCAAACAGG
Molecule: ribosomal RNA, 253 nt
Filed under: uncultured bacterium
Lineage: Bacteria
Description: partial 16S ribosomal RNA
Rfam family: Bacterial small subunit ribosomal RNA
Source: RNAcentral